ACCCCUUUUCGGCCUACGUGGCAC
RNAcentral lists this microRNA (24 nucleotides) under Solanum lycopersicum (tomato). Its description in RNAcentral is "sly-miR7981a". The record is from miRBase by way of RNAcentral. Lineage: Eukaryota; Viridiplantae; Streptophyta; Magnoliopsida; Solanales; Solanaceae.